Molecule: non-coding RNA, 338 nt
Organism: Anolis sagrei ordinatus
Lineage: Eukaryota; Metazoa; Chordata; Lepidosauria; Squamata; Anolidae
Source: RefSeq, a predicted model, not a curated record
AGUCCCUCCCCUAUCUUGCUUCUCUUUAGGAAAGGGAACUGGGACUUUUUAGUUGGUUUCCUUCUCGCUUUUGUGGAUCUUCUCCAGCGGGCGAAGGAGGGUCUGUCGCAACGUGAAAGCCACUCAGGUGUGUGUUUGUGGGUUAAAUAGCACCUGGAGGCCGCGGACUAAGCCAGUGGGCCAGUUUUUCAGAAUUACGGAACUGUUGUCCAGAUGCCUGUUCCCAAUACAGUUGGACCUUUGACUCCCUUUCUUGCUGGCAUGGGCAGUCUCCCUGGGUAUGAAGGCACAGGAAUUCAAGAUCAGGGCAAGUAUAUAAGUGAAGCAGUGGUUUUCAU